Molecule: ribosomal RNA, 420 nt
Filed under: bacterium
Lineage: Bacteria
Description: partial 16S ribosomal RNA
Rfam family: Bacterial small subunit ribosomal RNA
Source: RNAcentral
UGGGGGAUAUUGCACAAUGGGCGAAAGCCUGAUGCAGCGACGCCGCGUGGGGGAUGAAGGCUUUCGGGUUGUAAACCUCUUUCGCUAUCGAACAAGGCCCGCUUAGGGUGGGUUGAGGGUAGGUGGAGAAGAAGCGCCGGCUAACUACGUGCCAGCAGCCGCGGUAAUACGUAGGGCGCGAGCGUUGUCCGGAAUUAUUGGGCGUAAAGGGCUUGUAGGCGGCUUGUUGCGCCUGCUGUGAAAACGCGGGGCUUAACUUCGCGCGUGCAGUGGGUACGGGCAUGCUUGAGUGUGGUAGGGGUGACUGGAAUUCCAGGUGUAGCGGUGGAAUGCGCAGAUAUCUGGAGGUACACCGAUGGCGAAGGCAGGUCACUGGGCCAUUACUGACGCUGAGGAGCGAAAGCAUGGGUAGCGAACAGG